Non-coding RNA from Pseudonaja textilis, 1511 nucleotides. NCBI's taxonomy places the organism in Eukaryota, Metazoa, Chordata, Lepidosauria, Squamata, Elapidae. The record is from RefSeq and is a predicted model, not a curated record.
CCAGCGAGCAGGCUCGCUUCUCCCUCGCGGACGCUCCUAUGGCUGACUCUGCCGCCCUUUCCCCUUCCUCAGGGCUGCCGCUGCCUCCGCUUCUGCUCGCCUGGAUUUGCACCGCCGCCGCCGCUCUCCUCUUCGGGAUCGCGGCGGCCUGGCGUUGGCAGCGGAGCCGUCGAAGCAGCCGCCCGCGGCUAAAACUGGUGGGGACGGUGGCUGCUCUCUUCAUCUACCCGGUCAAAUCCUGCCGGGGGGUGGCUGUGAAGCGAGCCGAGAUGACCUCGCUGGGCCUUCGGGGCGAGAAGCUGCGGGAUCGAUUUUGGACUGUGAUAAAAAAAGAUGGACAAAUGAUAUCAGCUAAGAACAUUCCUCGCAUGAUUCUAAUUAGUGUAUCCUGUGAAGAUGACUAUUUAAUCCUGAAUGCCCCAGGAAUGAAGACACUGCAAAUUCCUCUUGAGCUCCCACAGACAAAUUCAAUCUGGAAUUGCAGACGAUUUGGACUCCAAACUCAAGGCAGGGACUGUGGAGAUGAAGCAGCUGAAUGGAUCACUACUUUCUUGAACAGAGAGCAUUAUCGGUUGGUCCAUUAUGAAACAAAUAUGGUGACAAGAAAGCCAUGUGAUUUCUUGCCUGCUUUUCUACCAAAAGAUGAGGUUGCCUAUGCUGAAGGCAGUCCACUCUUGCUGAUUUCUGAAGCUUCCUUGGAUGAUCUAAAUACAAGGUUAGAAAAGAAAGCUUCAAUAACUAUCUUCCGGCCAAACAUUGUUAUUAAAGACUGUAGUCCUUACGAAGAAGAUUCUUGGGUUGACAUAUUAAUUGGAACUGUUAAGUUGAAAGGAAAAAUGUCAUGUCCAAGGUGCAUUUUCACAGCAGUGGAUCCAGAUACUGGGACCAUGGGUGAAAAGGAAGUCCUAAAAGCCCUGAAAAGUUAUCGCAAGUGUAAUCCUUCUGAAGAACAUGACUAUAAGUCUAAUCCUCCUUUUGGAUGGCUAUAUGGAGUUGACGAAACGGGAAUAUUUGAAGUAGGGGAUCCUGUGUACAAGAUAAUCUCAUGAUGGGAGGCACCUGUGCAGUGGAGUGUAAUUUUUCUGUAUAUUGAUCAUGUACUCAUUUUUUAAGAUCAUUUUUUUCCUUCUUUCUUAAUUGGGUACUUAUCCAUUGUAGGCAGUUGCAUGUAGUCAUUAAGGGUCAUCACCAGUUUGUUGGCAAAUCAUCACUGUCGUCAUGACUGAGAAUCUACCUCAACACAUCAUCAUCACAAUUCAAACAUUCAGUUAUGUCCCUUUACUGCUUCAAGCAAAAUUUGAAUGAAGGGCAAACUGCAUGAAUAACAAAUAAGAGAACAUUUUUCAGUCAGUAUUCUUAAUGAAAUACAGGAAGUAUUUGAGGGUUAAAGAACAAGCUGAAACUUUAUGAAGGGAGUCUAUGCACUGAAGAGUUUUGAUGACUUCUGAUCUAGGCUGGACAAGGAAUAAUGGAUGGAAACUGAACAAGGAGAGAUUUAACCUGGAAAUAAG